RNAcentral lists this ribosomal RNA (253 nucleotides) under uncultured bacterium. RNAcentral's name for it is "partial 16S ribosomal RNA". It matches the Rfam family "Bacterial small subunit ribosomal RNA", at positions 524 to 776 of the family's 1533-position model. The record is from RNAcentral.
UACGUAGGGUGCGAGCGUUAAUCGGAAUUACUGGGCGUAAAGCGUGCGCAGGCGGUUGGUUAAGUCUGAUGUGAAAGCCCCGGGCUUAACCUGGGAAUGGCAUUUGGGACUGCAAGGCUUGAGUGCGGCAGAGGAGACUGGAAUUCCUGGUGUAGCAGUGAAAUGCGUAGAUAUCAGGAGGAAUACCGAUGGCGAAGGCAGGUCUCUGGGCUGACACUGACGCUCAUGCACGAAAGCGUGGGGAGCAAACAGG